Molecule: unclassified non-coding RNA, 231 nt
Filed under: plant metagenome
Description: partial contains small subunit ribosomal RNA, internal transcribed spacer 1, and 5.8S ribosomal RNA
Rfam family: Eukaryotic small subunit ribosomal RNA (bases 1-54)
Source: RNAcentral
GGAAGUAAAAGCCGUAACAAGGUCUCCGUUGGUGAACCAGCGGAGGGAUCAUUACUGGAAUCGCAAGAUCCCACAACCCUGUGAACCUACCGAAACGUUGCCUCGGCGGGUGCCUGGCCCCCGCGCCGGGCGCUGCGCCCGCCGGCGGCCCCCUACUCUGUCUCUGCAGCGUGGCAUCUCAGAGUCCCAGAAGACAAGUCAAAACUUUCAACAACGGAUCUCUUGGCUCUA